UACGUAGGUGGCAAGGGUUGUCCGGAAUUAUUGGGCGUAAAGGGCGCGCAGGCGGUCUCUUAAGUCUGAUGUGAAAUCUUGUGGCUCAACCACAAGCUGUCAUUGGAAACUGGGUGACUUGAGUGCAGAAGAGAAGAGUGGAAUUCCACGUGUAGCGGUGAAAUGCGUAGAGAUGUGGAGGAACACCAGUGGCGAAGGCGACUCUUUGGUCUGCAACUGACGCUGAGGCGCGAAAGCGUGGGGAGCGAACAGG
Molecule: ribosomal RNA, 253 nt
Filed under: uncultured bacterium
Lineage: Bacteria
Description: partial 16S ribosomal RNA
Rfam family: Bacterial small subunit ribosomal RNA
Source: RNAcentral